GUCCACGCCGUAAACGAUGAAUACUAGGUGUCGGGCGUCAAAACUCGGUGCCGCAGCUAACGCAUUAAGUAUUCCGCCUGGGGAGUACGCACGCAAGUGUGAAACUCAAAGGAAUUGACGGGGACCCGCACAAGCAGCGGAGCAUGUGGUUUAAUUCGAAGCAACGCGAAGAACCUUACCAGGUCUUGACAUCCUCUUGCAAGCGUCCUAGCCGACGCCCUCCUUCGGGACAAGAGAGACAGGUGGUGCAUGGUUGUCGU
This 260-nucleotide ribosomal RNA is filed under the name uncultured bacterium. RNAcentral describes it as "partial 16S ribosomal RNA". It matches the Rfam family "Bacterial small subunit ribosomal RNA", at positions 793 to 1055 of the family's 1533-position model. The record is from RNAcentral.